RNAcentral lists this ribosomal RNA (469 nucleotides) under uncultured bacterium. Its description in RNAcentral is "partial 16S ribosomal RNA". It matches the Rfam family "Bacterial small subunit ribosomal RNA", at positions 28 to 507 of the family's 1533-position model. The record is from RNAcentral.
GACGAACGCUGGCGGCGUGCUUAACACAUGCAAGUCGAACGGAAAGGCCCUGCUUGCAGGGUGCUCGCGUGGCGAACGGGUGAGUAACACGUGGGUGAUCUGCCCCUUACUUUGGGAUAAGCCUGGGAAACUGGGUCUAAUACUGGAUAGGACCAUGCUGUAGGUGGUGUGGUGGAGAGAUUAGUUUCGGUAGGGGAUGAGCUCGCGGCCUAUCAGCUUGUUGGUGGGGUAAUGGCCUACCAAGGCGUCGACGGGUAGCCGGCCUGAGAGGGUGGACGGCAACGCUGGGACUGAGACGCGGCGCAGCCGCCGGCGGGAGGCAGCAGUGGGGACAAUUGCGAAACGGGCGCAAGCCGGAUGCAGAGAAGGCGCGUGGGUGAUGACGGCCUUCGGGUUGGGAACACCUUUCAGCUAUGACGAAGCGCUUGUAGUGACGGUAGUGGUAGAAGAAGCACCGGCUAACUACGUG